RNAcentral lists this ribosomal RNA (393 nucleotides) under uncultured bacterium. Its description in RNAcentral is "partial 16S ribosomal RNA". It matches the Rfam family "Bacterial small subunit ribosomal RNA", at positions 523 to 918 of the family's 1533-position model. The record is from RNAcentral.
AUACGGAGGAUGCAAGCGUUAUCCGGAUUUAUUGGGUUUAAAGGGUGCGUAGGCGGUUUGCUAAGCGGGAGGUGAAAUGCCGGCGCUCAACGUCGGAAGUGCCUCCCGAACUGGUGGACUUGAAUGACUCUGCCGUGGGAGGAAUGUGUAGUGUAGCGGUGAAAUGCUUAGAGAUUACACAGAACACCGAUUGCGGAGGCAGCUCGCCAGGCCUGCAUUGACGCUCGGGCACGAAAGCGUGGGGAUCGAACAGGAUUAGAUACCCUGGUAGUCCACGCCGUAAACGAUGGGCGCUCGUCGUCGGCGGCAGACAGUCGGCGGCCAAGUGAAAGCGAUAAGCGCCCCACCUGGGGAGUACGGUCGCAAGGCUGAAACUCAAAUGAAUUGGCGGGG